Molecule: transfer RNA, 53 nt
Filed under: Phlegmariurus sarmentosus
Lineage: Eukaryota; Viridiplantae; Streptophyta; Lycopodiopsida; Lycopodiales; Lycopodiaceae
Description: partial transfer RNA-Leu
Source: RNAcentral
GACUUAAAAUUCGUUGGCUUUAUAAACCGUGAGGUCGAGUCCCUCUACCCCCA